This 497-nucleotide ribosomal RNA is filed under the name uncultured bacterium. RNAcentral's name for it is "partial 16S ribosomal RNA". It matches the Rfam family "Bacterial small subunit ribosomal RNA", at positions 28 to 507 of the family's 1533-position model. The record is from RNAcentral.
GAUGAACGCUGGCGGCGUGCCUAAUACAUGCAAGUCGAGCGAACGGACGAGAAGCUUGCGUCUUUGAGGGUAGCGGCUGACGGGUGAGUAACACGUGGAUAACCUACCUAUAAGUCUGGGAUAAUUUCGGGAAACCGGUGCUAAUACCGGCUAAUAUUUUGUACCGCAUGGUUCAAGAGUGAAUGACGCUCUUGCUGACACUUUUAGAUGGUUCCGCGCUGCAUUAGCUAGUUGGUAAGGUAACGGCUUACCAAGGCGACGAUGCAUAGCCGACCUGAGAGGGUGAUCGGCCACACUGGAACUGAGACACGGUCCAGACUCCUACGGGAGGCAGCAGUAGGGAAUCUUCCGCAAUGGGCGCAAGCCUGACGGAGCAACGCCGCGUGAGUGAUGAAGGUCUUCGGAUCGUAAAACUCUGUUAUUGGGAAAGAACAUAUGUAUAAGUAACUGUGCACAUCUUGACGGUACCUAAUCAGAAAGCCACGGCUAACUACGUG